UACGUAGGGCGCAAACGUUGUCCGGAAUUAUUGGGCGUAAAGAGCUCGUAGGCGGCUUGUCACGUCGGGUGUGAAAUCCCCAGGCUUAACCUGGGAACUGCAUUCGAGACUGCAUUGCUAGAGUAUGGGAGAGGGAAGUGGAAUUUCCGGUGUAGCGGUGAAAUGCGUAGAUAUCGGAAGGAACAUCAGUGGCGAAAGCGACUUCCUGGACCAAUACUGACGCUCAUGUGCGAAAGCGUGUGGAGCAAACAGG
Molecule: ribosomal RNA, 253 nt
Filed under: uncultured bacterium
Lineage: Bacteria
Description: partial 16S ribosomal RNA
Rfam family: Bacterial small subunit ribosomal RNA
Source: RNAcentral